UAAAAGUCCGGCUCGAGGCGUCUAGUAGUCGCGUUCGUAAGGCGCAUUUCUCGAGGGUUAGCGCCGCGACCGAUGCGAACGGCCGACGACGCCGUCGAGUUGAGGUCGAACGCCCUUCGCGGGUAUUCGUAACCAGCUCGUUCGGUUCGAUCGUUGGAUCUAUAUAAAGAAAGCAUCGAGCGAAUACUUAAUAAAUACGUCGGCGUAAAACGCUCGACGAGCGGCGGAGACUCGGCCAGUCGUUCGAUACCUGCUCGCAGGUGCUCGUUCGGCGCGAGGUCGUUUCCCGAUGUCGCCGUCGACGCUACCGACGUUUAGGCGUCCGCGGCGUCCGAGUCGGUCACCCGUCCGACCCGUCUUGAAACACGGACCAAGGAGUCUAACGUACGCGCGAGUUAAUGGGCGGAAAACCCAUAAGCGCAAUAAAAGUAAAAGUCGUCCCGAGACGGCCGAGGUACGAUCCUAGACUACGCGUCUAGGCGCAGUACCGUCCCGUCCCGACCGCACGUCGGUAGGGCGGAGAUUGAGCGCGUGCGUUGGGACCCGAAAGAUGGUGAACUAUGCCUGAGCAGAGCGAAGCCAGAGGAAACUCUGGUGGAGG
RNAcentral lists this ribosomal RNA (601 nucleotides) under Xiphinema sp. 1 SAS-2016. RNAcentral describes it as "eukaryotic LSU rRNA". It matches the Rfam family "Eukaryotic large subunit ribosomal RNA", at positions 431 to 873 of the family's 3401-position model. Lineage: Eukaryota; Metazoa; Nematoda; Enoplea; Dorylaimida; Longidoridae. The record is from RNAcentral.